ACGGGUGAGUACACGUAAGCAACCUGCCUUUAAGACGAGAAUAACAAUUGGAAACAGUUGCUAAGGCUGGAUAGGAAAUAAAAAGGCAUCUUUUUAUUUUUAAAAGACCUUUUUCGGAAGGUAUGCUUAAAGAGGGGCUUGCGUCACAUUAGUUAGUUGGUAGGGUAAAGGCCUACCAAGACGAUGAUGUGUAGCUGGACUGAGAGGUUGAACAGCCACAUUGGGACUGAGACACGGCCCAAACUCCUACGGGAGGCAGCAGUAGGGAAUUUUCGGCAAUGGAGGAAACUCUGACCGAGCAACGCCGCGUGAACGACGAAGUACUUCGGUAUGUAAAGUUCUUUUAUUGAAGAAGAAAUAAUAGUGGAAAAACUAUCUUGACGUUAUUCAAUGAAUAAGCCCCGGCUAACUAUGUGCCAGCAGCCGCGGUAAUACAUAGGGGGCGAGCGUUAUCCGGAAUUAUUGGGCGUAAAGGGUGCGUAGGCGGUUUAAUAAGUCUCUAGUUUAAUUUCAACGCUUAACGUUGUCCUGCUAGAGAAACUGUUUAACUAGAGUGAGAUAGAGGUAAGCGGAAUUCCAUGUGUAGCGGUAAAAUGUGUAAAUAUAUGGAGGAACACCAGAGGCGUAGGCGGCUUACUGGGUCUUUACUGACGCUGAUGCACGAAAGCGUGGGGAGCAAACAGGAUUAGAUACCCUGGUAGUCCACGCCGUAAACUAUGAGUACUAAGUGUCGGGGUUAAACUCGGUACUGAAGUUAACACAUUAAGUACUCCGCCUGAGUAGUACGUACGCAAGUAUGAAAUUUAAAGGAAUUGACGGGAUCCCGCACAAGCGGUGGAUCAUGUUGUUUAAUUCGAAGAUACACGAAAAAACCUUACCCAGGUCUUGACAUACUCUGCAAAGAUAUAGAAAUAUAGUGGAGGUUAUCAGGGGAUACAGGUGGUGCAUGGUUGUCGUCAGCUCGUGUCGUGAGAUGUUAGGUUAAGUUCUAAAACGAGCGCAACCCCUGUCGUUAAUUGCCAGCACGUUAUGGUGGGGACUUUAGCGAGACUGCCAAUGAAAAAUUGGAGGAAGGUGGGGAUUACGUCAAAUCAUCAUGCCCCUUAUGAUCUGGGCUACAAACGUGAUACAAUGGCUAUUACAAAGAGUAGCUGAAACGCGAGUUUUUGGCAAAUCCCAAAAAAAUAGUCUCAGUUCGGAUUGAAGUCUGCAACUCGACUUCAUGAAGUUGGAAUCGCUAGUAAUCGCGAAUCAGCAUGUCGCGGUGAAUAUGUUCUCGGGGUUUGUACACACCGCCCGUCAAACCACGAAAGUGGACAAUACCCGAAAGCGACAGCCUAACUGCGUAAGCAGAGGGAAUCGUCUAAGGUAGGGUCGAUGAUUGGGGUUAAGUCGUAACAAGGUAUCCCUACCGGAAGGUGGGGAUGGAUCACCUCCUUUCU
Molecule: ribosomal RNA, 1442 nt
Filed under: Lethal yellowing phytoplasma
Lineage: Bacteria; Bacillati; Mycoplasmatota; Mollicutes; Acholeplasmatales; Acholeplasmataceae
Description: 16S ribosomal RNA
Rfam family: Bacterial small subunit ribosomal RNA
Source: RNAcentral